This 109-nucleotide ribosomal RNA is filed under the name Streptococcus parasanguinis. The record is from RNAcentral. Lineage: Bacteria; Bacillati; Bacillota; Bacilli; Lactobacillales; Streptococcaceae.
AGUGACGAUAGCCUAGGAGAUACACCUGUACCCAUGCCGAACACAGCAGUUAAGCCCUAGAACGCCGGAAGUAGUUGGGGGUUGCCCCCUGUGAGAUAAGGAAGUCGCU